AGCGAACGCUGGCGGCAGGCUUAACACAUGCAAGUCGAGCGGGCACUUUCGGGUGUCAGCGGCGGACGGGUGAGUAACGCGUGGUAACUUGCCCUCUGGUUCGGAAUAACUCAGGGAAACUUGAGCUAAUACCGGAUACGCCCUUUUGGGGAAAGGCUUGCUGCCGGAGGAUCGGCCCGCGUCUGAUUAGCUAGUUGGUGAGGUAACGGCUCACCAAGGCGACGAUCAGUAGCUGGUCUGAGAGGAUGAUCAGCCACACUGGGACUGAGACACGGCCCAGACUCCUACGGGAGGCAGCAGUGGGGAAUAUUGGACAAUGGGCGCAAGCCUGAUCCAGCCAUGCCGCGUGAGUGAUGAAGGCCUUAGGGUUGUAAAGCUCUUUUAUCCGGGACGAUAAUGACGGUACCGGAGGAAUAAGCCCCGGCUAACUUCGUG
Molecule: ribosomal RNA, 435 nt
Filed under: uncultured bacterium
Lineage: Bacteria
Description: partial 16S ribosomal RNA
Rfam family: Bacterial small subunit ribosomal RNA
Source: RNAcentral